GUAGGUGGCAAGCGUUGUCCGGGAAUUUAUUGGGCGUUAAAGCGCGCGCAGGUGGGUUCUUUAAGUCUGAUGUGAAAGCCCCCGGGCUCAACCGGGGGAGGGUCAUUGGAAACUGGGGAACUUGAGUGCAGGAGAGGAAAGUGGAAUUCCACGUGUAGCGGUGAAAUGCGUAGAUAUGUGGAGGAACACCAGUGGCGAAGGCGACUUCCUGGCCUGUAACUGACACUGAGGCGCGAAAGCGUGGGGAGCAAACAGGAUUAGAUACCCUGGUAGUCCACGCCGUAAACGAUGAGUGCUAAGUGUUGGGGGGUUUCCGCCCCUCAGUGCUGCAGCUAACGCAUUAAGCACUCCGCCUGGGGAGUACGGUCGCAAGACUG
This 377-nucleotide ribosomal RNA is filed under the name uncultured organism. RNAcentral describes it as "partial 16S ribosomal RNA". It matches the Rfam family "Bacterial small subunit ribosomal RNA", at positions 527 to 896 of the family's 1533-position model. The record is from RNAcentral.